This 323-nucleotide ribosomal RNA is filed under the name uncultured eukaryote. RNAcentral's name for it is "partial 18S ribosomal RNA". It matches the Rfam family "Eukaryotic small subunit ribosomal RNA", at positions 1470 to 1796 of the family's 1831-position model. The record is from RNAcentral.
CCCUUAGAUGUUCUGGGCUGCACGCGUGCUACACUGAUAUUGCCAAUAUGCCAUUCUUAUCCGAAAUGGAUUGGGUAAUCAAGUAAUGAAAUUUCAUGCUUGGAAUCGGUAAUUGCAAUUUUAUCGUGAACGAGGAAUUCCUAGUAAGCACUAGUCAUCAGCUAAUGUUGAUUAUGUCCCUGCCCUUUGUACACACCGCCCGUCGCUACUACUGAUUGGGUGUUCAAGUGAGAUGCUUAGACCCUUGUUGCAUGGUUCAUUAUUGCGCUCCGAAAGGAAAAAGUUUCAAGCUUGAGUGUAUAGAGGAAGUAAAAGUCGUAACA